RNAcentral lists this ribosomal RNA (124 nucleotides) under Propithecus coquereli (Coquerel's sifaka). Lineage: Eukaryota; Metazoa; Chordata; Mammalia; Primates; Indriidae. The record is from RNAcentral.
GUCUAUGGCCAUACCACCCUGCACACAUUGAAUCUUGUCUGCUCUCAGAAGCUAAAGCGGGGUUGGGCCUGGUUACUUACUAUUUGGUUGGCAGACUGCCUGGGAGUAUCGGGUGCUGUAGGGU